Molecule: ribosomal RNA, 85 nt
Filed under: Ditylum brightwellii
Lineage: Eukaryota; Bacillariophyta; Thalassiosirophyceae; Lithodesmiales; Lithodesmiaceae
Description: partial 28S ribosomal RNA
Rfam family: Eukaryotic large subunit ribosomal RNA
Source: RNAcentral
AAUCGGAUCUCAGAUUAGGUAAGACUACCCGCUGAAUUUAAGCAUAUAAUUAAGCGGAGGAAAAGAAACUAACAAGGAUUCCCCC